RNAcentral lists this ribosomal RNA (253 nucleotides) under uncultured bacterium. RNAcentral's name for it is "partial 16S ribosomal RNA". It matches the Rfam family "Bacterial small subunit ribosomal RNA", at positions 524 to 776 of the family's 1533-position model. The record is from RNAcentral.
GACAGAGGUGCCGAGCGUUAGGCGGAAUCACUGGGCUUAAAGCGUGUGUAGGCGGGCGGGCAAGUACCUUGUGAAAUCCCACGGCUCAACCGUGGAACGGCUGGGUAUACUGCCUGUCUUGAGCCAACUAGGGGCGAGCGGAACAGACGGUGGAGCGGUGAAAUGCGUAGAUAUCGUCUGGAACGCCGAAGGUGAAAACAGCUCGCUGGGGUUGUGCUGACGCUGAGACACGAAAGCGCGGGGAGCGAACGGG